Molecule: ribosomal RNA, 302 nt
Filed under: uncultured bacterium
Lineage: Bacteria
Description: partial 16S ribosomal RNA
Rfam family: Bacterial small subunit ribosomal RNA
Source: RNAcentral
GCAGCCGCCGCGGUAAUACGUAGGUGGCAAGCGUUGUCCGGAAUUAUUGGGCGUAAAGCGCGCGCAGGCGGAUAGGUCAGUCUGUCUUAAAAGUUCGGGGCUUAACCCCGUGAUGAGAUGGAAACUGCCAAUCUAGAGUAUCGGAGAGGAAAGUGGAAUUCCUAGUGUAGCGGUGAAAUGCGUAGAUAUUAGGAAGAACACCAGUGGCGAAGGCGACUUUCUGGACGAAAACUGACGCUGAGACGCGAAAGCCAGGGGAGCGAACGGGAUUAGAUACCCCGGUAGUCCCUGUCUCUUAUACA